AGAGUUUGAUCCUGGCUCAGGAUGAACGCUGGCGGCGUGCCUAACACAUGCAAGUCGAGCGAAGCACUUUGCUUAGAUUCUUCGGAUGAAGAGGAUUGUGACUGAGCGGCGGACGGGUGAGUAACGCGUGGGUAACCUGCCUCAUACAGGGGGAUAACAGUUAGAAAUGACUGCUAAUACCGCAUAAGACCACAGCACCGCAUGGUGCGGGGGUAAAAACUCCGGUGGUAUGAGAUGGACCCGCGUCUGAUUAGCUGGUUGGUAAGGUAACGGCUUACCAAGGCGACGAUCAGUAGCCGACCUGAGAGGGUGACCGGCCACAUUGGGACUGAGACACGGCCCAAACUCCUACGGGAGGCAGCAGUGGGGAAUAUUGCACAAUGGGGGAAACCCUGAUGCAGCGACGCCGCGUGAGCGAAGAAGUAUUUCGGUAUGUAAAGCUCUAUCAGCAGGGAAGAAAAUGACGGUACCUGACUAAGAAGCACCGGCUAAAUACGUGCCAGCAGCCGCGGUAAUACGUAUGGUGCAAGCGUUAUCCGGAUUUACUGGGUGUAAAGGGAGCGUAGACGGAUGGGCAAGUCUGAUGUGAAAACCCGGGGCUCAACCCCGGGACUGCAUUGGAAACUGUUCAUCUAGAGUGCUGGAGAGGUAAGUGGAAUUCCUAGUGUAGCGGUGAAAUGCGUAGAUAUUAGGAGGAACACCAGUGGCGAAGGCGGCUUACUGGACAGUAACUGACGUUGAGGCUCGAAAGCGUGGGGAGCAAACAGGAUUAGAUACCCUGGUAGUCCACGCCGUAAACGAUGACUACUAGGUGUCGGGUGGCAAAGCCAUUCGGUGCCGCAGCAAACGCAAUAAGUAGUCCACCUGGGGGAGUACGUUCGCAAGAAUGAAACUCAAAGGAAUUGACGGGGGACCCGCACAAGCGGUGGAGCAUGUGGUUUAAUUCGAAGCAACGCGAAGAACCUUACCUGCUCUUGACAUCCCGCUGACCGGACGGUAAUGCGUCCUUCCCUUCGGGGCAGCGGAGACAGGUGGUGCAUGGUUGUCGUCAGCUCGUGUCGUGAGAUGUUGGGUUAAGUCCCGCACGAGCGCAACCCUAUCUUUAGUAGCAGCGGCCAGGCCGGGCACUCUAAAAGAGACUGCCGGGGAUAAUCCCGGGAGGAAGGUGGGGAUAGAACUCA
Molecule: ribosomal RNA, 1181 nt
Filed under: [Ruminococcus] torques ATCC 27756
Lineage: Bacteria; Bacillati; Bacillota; Clostridia; Lachnospirales; Lachnospiraceae
Description: bacterial SSU rRNA
Rfam family: Bacterial small subunit ribosomal RNA
Source: RNAcentral